CCUACGGGCGGCAGCAGUGGGGAAUAUUGCACAAUGGGGGAAACCCUGAUGCAGCAACGCCGCGUGAGUGAAGAAGUAUUUCGGUAUGUAAAGCUCUAUCAGCAGGGAAGAAGAUGACGGUACCUGAUUAAGAAGCCCCGGCUAACUACGUGCCAGCAGCCGCGGUAAUACGUAGGGGGCAAGCGUUAUCCGGAUUUACUGGGUGUAAAGGGAGCGCAGACGGCAGUGCAAGUCUGGAGUGAAAGCCCGGGGCCCAACCCCGGAACUGCUCUGGAAACUGUGCGGCUAGAGUACUGGAGGGGCAGGCGGAAGUCCUAGUGUAGCGGUGAAAUGCGUAGAUAUAUGGAAGAACACCAGUGGCGAAAGCGGCUCUCUGGUCUGUAACUGACGCUGAGGUUCGAAAGCGUGGGUAGCAAACAGGAGUAGAUACCCCAGUAGUC
This 440-nucleotide ribosomal RNA is filed under the name uncultured bacterium. Its description in RNAcentral is "partial 16S ribosomal RNA". It matches the Rfam family "Bacterial small subunit ribosomal RNA", at positions 338 to 795 of the family's 1533-position model. The record is from RNAcentral.